GCGCCUGUCGUACAAUGGUAGUACCUCAGCCUUCCAAGCUGAUGAUGUGGGUUCGAUUCCCAUCGGGCGCU
RNAcentral lists this transfer RNA (71 nucleotides) under Winmispira thermophila DSM 6578. Its description in RNAcentral is "Spirochaeta thermophila DSM 6578 tRNA". It matches the Rfam family "tRNA". Rfam says of the family: Transfer RNA (tRNA) molecules are approximately 80 nucleotides in length. Their secondary structure includes four short double-helical elements and three loops (D, anti-codon, and T loops). Further hydrogen bonds mediate the characteristic L-shaped molecular structure. tRNAs have two regions of fundamental functional importance: the anti-codon, which is responsible for specific mRNA codon recognition, and the 3' end, to which the tRNAs corresponding amino acid is attached (by aminoacyl-tRNA synthetases). tRNAs cope with the degeneracy of the genetic code in two manners: having more than one tRNA (with a specific anti-codon) for a particular amino acid; and 'wobble' base-pairing, i.e. permitting non-standard base-pairing at the 3rd anti-codon position. The record is from Rfam by way of RNAcentral. Lineage: Bacteria; Pseudomonadati; Spirochaetota; Spirochaetia; Winmispirales; Winmispiraceae.